Molecule: long non-coding RNA, 814 nt
Organism: Penaeus monodon (black tiger shrimp)
Lineage: Eukaryota; Metazoa; Arthropoda; Malacostraca; Decapoda; Penaeidae
Exons: 3
Source: RefSeq, a predicted model, not a curated record
UCUAGGGCUUGGGCUGACGGUUCCCUCAUAGGCUGCGAUAAGGAUAAUGUCGUAGUCGUGUUCCUCAGUGUUGAUAUGUAGUGAAUUACGCCUUGUCCCUAGUGUUGACGUAUAUGUGGAAGGAAGGGUGUCUUACGAAGGGGGGCCAUCACAGGUUAUAGAGCAGUACGAGAGGGCAUCCUGGCUCGACAACACGUACAUAAGGACCGACUUGAGGACUUCUGUUAAAAGGCCUAGACUGUUCCCGCUAUGCGAUUGACCGCAUUCCAAGAAAAGUGAAGCGGGUACGACGCAGUGGUAUCAGUCACCUUGAAAUGCCACGAAUAAUCUAAUUGAAUGGGGUUGGGAGUCACGGGAGAGAGCGCCGUUUCCCAUCGUGCUGCUUCUCAGGCAGGUUCCUACCUCCUCCCACACUAGUUGGGGAAACAUACGUGGCUGGACAACAUCUGAUUCCGCCUGCUCAAUUUCCGUAGAUUUUUCGUCUUUUAUUGAGGCAAGGAUACGGCAACGUCUAAGUCUGACAGUUCCUAGAGUGCCAAGGAAUGAACUGGAAAUUAAUCGAUAUAUCAAAGUAAAGUACAGAAAAGGAGAGUCGAGAAAAUUAAAAGGGGAUUGACCAAGGAUAGGCUUACUAGUAAAUGCUGCAAAGUCUUUCCUUAAUUCGUAUCUGCUUUCUCCAUAUAUACAUAAUCAGUAGAAGGAAGGGGGAGAUGGUAGGGCUAGCCUUGGGAUUUAUUUAGGUUAGCUAAAGAGACUAUUCCUAAUUCAGUUUUCUUGUAUUUAUUAUUGUUAGAAUCGAAGAACCCAAUGUAAU